RNAcentral lists this ribosomal RNA (465 nucleotides) under Vreelandella stevensii. Its description in RNAcentral is "partial 16S ribosomal RNA". It matches the Rfam family "Bacterial small subunit ribosomal RNA", at positions 338 to 795 of the family's 1533-position model. Lineage: Bacteria; Pseudomonadati; Pseudomonadota; Gammaproteobacteria; Oceanospirillales; Halomonadaceae. The record is from RNAcentral.
CCUACGGGCGGCAGCAGUGGGGAAUAUUGGACAAUGGGGGGAACCCUGAUCCAGCCAUGCCGCGUGUGUGAAGAAGGCCCUCGGGUUGUAAAGCACUUUCAGUGAGGAAGAACGCCUGGUGGUUAAUACCCAUCAGGAAAGACAUCACUCACAGAAGAAGCACCGGCUAACUCCGUGCCAGCAGCCGCGGUAAUACGGAGGGUGCGAGCGUUAAUCGGAAUUACUGGGCGUAAAGCGCGCGUAGGUGGCUUGAUAAGCCGGUUGUGAAAGCCCCGGGCUCAACCUGGGAACGGCAUCCGGAACUGUCAAGCUAGAGUGCAGGAGAGGAAGGUAGAAUUCCCGGUGUAGCGGUGAAAUGCGUAGAGAUCGGGAGGAAUACCAGUGGCGAAGGCGGCCUUCUGGACUGACACUGACACUGAGGUGCGAAAGCGUGGGUAGCAAACAGGAUUAAAUACCCGGGUAGUC